RNAcentral lists this ribosomal RNA (253 nucleotides) under uncultured prokaryote. Its description in RNAcentral is "partial 16S ribosomal RNA". It matches the Rfam family "Bacterial small subunit ribosomal RNA", at positions 524 to 776 of the family's 1533-position model. The record is from RNAcentral.
UACAGAGGUCCCGAGCGUUGUUCGGAUUCACUGGGCGUAAAGCGUGCGCAGGCGGUGAUGUAAGACAGAUGUGAAAUCCCCGGGCUCAACCUGGGACCUGCAUUUGUGACUGCAUCGCUAGAGUACGGUAGAGGGGGAUGGAAUUCCGCGUGUAGCAGUGAAAUGCGUAGAUAUGCGGAGGAACACCGAUGGCGAAGGCAAUCCCCUGGACCUGUACUGACGCUCAUGCACGAAAGCGUGGGGAGCAAACAGG